GGGAAACGUAGGGUCGUAAUACCGGAUAUGACGAUGGUUUGGAUGCCAUUGUGGAAAGUUUUUUCGGUGUGGGAUGAGCUCGCGGCCUAUCAGCUUGUUGGUGGGGUAAUGGCCUACCAAGGCGACGACGGGUAGCCGGCCUGAGAGGGUGUACGGCCGCAUUGGGACUGAGAUACGGCCCAG
RNAcentral lists this ribosomal RNA (183 nucleotides) under uncultured Actinomycetales bacterium. Its description in RNAcentral is "partial 16S ribosomal RNA". It matches the Rfam family "Bacterial small subunit ribosomal RNA", at positions 140 to 334 of the family's 1533-position model. The record is from RNAcentral. Lineage: Bacteria; Bacillati; Actinomycetota; Actinomycetes; Actinomycetales.